GGCCCGGCGGGCGCAGCUGGAGAACCACGAGCCCGAGGAGGAGGAGGAGGAAGAGCUGGAGGCCGAGAAGGAGGCGGCGGGAUCAGACGAAGAGCGUGAGAAGGGCAGCGAGAGCGAGGGGGCCGCGAGCGGGGACGAGGAGGAGGAGGAGGACGAGGCCGAAGGCUCCGGCAGCGGCAGCGAGCGCGGGGGGGGCUCUGCCCGCAGCGAGGAAGAGGAGGAGGCCGAGGAGGAGGAAGGGGGGGCCCGGGGGGGUCGCCGGGGGGGCAGCGACGCCGCCAGAGCCGCCCGCGACCAGGAGGAGAUUUUCGGCAGCGACAACGACGACGAGGAGGAGGAGGAGGAGGAAGAGGAGGAGGAGGAGGAAGGCAGCGAGGGGGGGGCACCCCCACGGAGCCCCCAGCUCAGCGCCAGCGAGGAGGAGGAGGACGAGGAAGAGGAGGAGGAGGAAGACGAGGAGAGUCCCAGCGACGCCUCCGACUCCUCCAGCGAGUGAGGGGCUGGCGUGGCCCCCCCGCGCCCCCCCGGCCCCGCCCUGGGGCAAAAAGCAGCCGUUGUGGGUGUUUUUUGUGUUUAAUAACGUUCAUGGUUACCAGCCAUAUCAUAACAAAAGGAUUCAUAAUAAAAUGUAUCUAAAAUAA
This is an RNA transcript of Pipra filicauda (Wire-tailed manakin), 641 nucleotides long. RefSeq lists it as uncharacterized. The transcript is spliced from 2 exons. Lineage: Eukaryota; Metazoa; Chordata; Aves; Passeriformes; Pipridae. The record is from RefSeq and is a predicted model, not a curated record.